This 460-nucleotide ribosomal RNA is filed under the name uncultured bacterium. RNAcentral describes it as "partial 16S ribosomal RNA". It matches the Rfam family "Bacterial small subunit ribosomal RNA", at positions 338 to 795 of the family's 1533-position model. The record is from RNAcentral.
CCUACGGGAGGCAGCAGUGAGGAAUAUUGGUCAAUGGCCGGAAGGCUGAACCAGCCAUGCCGCGUGAAGGUCAGUGCCCUAUGGGCGUUAAACUUCUUUUGUGCGGGAGCAGUAAUGGUCACGUGUGGCCAGACGAGAGUACCGUACGAAUAAGCAUCGGCUAACUCCGUGCCAGCAGCCGCGGUAAUACGGGGGAUGCAAGCGUUAUCCGGAUUUAUUGGGUUUAAAGGGUGCGUAGGCUGUGAGGUAAGUCAGCGGUGAAAUGCCCCCGCUCAACGGGGUGAAGUGCCAUUGAUACUGCCUGGCUGGAAUGCGGAUGCCGUGGGAGGAAUGUGUGGUGUAGCGGUGAAAUGCAUAGAUAUCACACAGAACACCGAUUGCGAAGGCAUCUCACGAAUCCGCGAUUGACGCUGAUGCACGAAAGCGUGGGUAUCAAACAGGAUUAGAUACCCCAGUAGUC